This 87-nucleotide ribosomal RNA is filed under the name Acanthamoeba sp. Fla1. RNAcentral describes it as "partial 18S ribosomal RNA". RNAcentral also lists the same sequence under 5 other names. Lineage: Eukaryota; Discosea; Longamoebia; Acanthamoebidae. The record is from RNAcentral.
CAAAACACCACCAUCGGCGCGGUCGUCCUUGGCGUCUCGGUUUCGGCCGGGGCGCGGGGAUGGCUUAGCCCGGUGGCACCGGUGAAU